RNAcentral lists this ribosomal RNA (758 nucleotides) under uncultured Lactobacillus sp. RNAcentral's name for it is "bacterial SSU rRNA". It matches the Rfam family "Bacterial small subunit ribosomal RNA", at positions 28 to 776 of the family's 1533-position model. The record is from RNAcentral. Lineage: Bacteria; Bacillati; Bacillota; Bacilli; Lactobacillales; Lactobacillaceae.
GACGAACGCUGGCGGCGUGCCUAAUACAUGCAAGUCGAGCGAGCUUGCCUAUUGAAAUUCUUCGGAAUGGACAUAGAUACNNGCUAGCGGCGGAUGGAUGAGUAACGCGUGGGUAACCUGCCCUUAAGUCUGGGAUACCAUUUGGAAACAGAUGCUAAUACCGGAUAAAAGCUACUUUCGCAUGAAAGAAGUUUAAAAGGCGGCGUAAGCUGUCGCUAAAGGAUGGACCUGCGAUGCAUUAGCUAGUUGGUAAGGUAACGGCUUACCAAGGCGAUGAUGCAUAGCCGAGUUGAGAGACUGAUCGGCCACAUUGGGACUGAGACACGGCCCAAACUCCUACGGGAGGCAGCAGUAGGGAAUCUUCCACAAUGGACGCAAGUCUGAUGGAGCAACGCCGCGUGAGUGAAGAAGGUUUUCGGAUCGUAAAGCUCUGUUAUUGGGGAAGAAACAGUGACGGUACCCAAUGAGGAAGUCCCGGCUAACUACGUGCCAGCAGCCGCGGUAAUACGUAGGGGACGAGCGUUGUCCGGAAUCACUGGGCGUAAAGGGCGCGUAGGCGGUUUUAUAAGUCAGAUGUGAAAGGUACCGGCUCAACCGGUGACGUGCAUUUGAAACUGUAAGACUUGAGUACUGAAGGGGCAAGCGGAAUUCCUAGUGUAGCGGUGAAAUGCGUAGAUAUUAGGAAGAACACCGGUGGCGAAGGCGGCUUGCUGGGCAGAUACUGACGCUGAGGUGCGAAAGCGUGGGGAGCGAACAGG